Erinaceus europaeus (western European hedgehog) is the source of this 1080-nucleotide long non-coding RNA. RefSeq lists it as uncharacterized. The transcript is spliced from 3 exons. The record is from RefSeq and is a predicted model, not a curated record. NCBI's taxonomy places the organism in Eukaryota, Metazoa, Chordata, Mammalia, Eulipotyphla, Erinaceidae.
UGGGGAUCCCGGGGGAAGAGGCAGGCAGACCCAGCUGGUCAGUGGAGAGAUAAACCCCACAGAGGCAGUGAGGUCUCUCGCCAUCCAGGACUGGGCCUAGCCUGCACUUGUCGUUAGUAAAUACUCGUGGAAUUGCUGAGAACCAGAGAUGUGCAGCAGCGUGCUCAGGGUCACACAGCAUGCCAUAGGGGGAGGUGUGCAAAGUCAGCUGCCUGGGGCCCUGCAGGACAGCAAAGUGGAGCAGCCUCCUGCUCAGCUCUGCUCCAAGGAAGCUUUCUGCCCACCUCUGACUUCCUCUCUGAGGAGCCAAGUGAGACUCCUAGGUCUGAGGUCCCAUGUCCCGUAGUCAGUCACCUUGGCAGAACAGAUGAUCUCAGGUGGGGUCUGCCCCAGUGCACAGGGAAGCCCAGAGAGGGCAUGGUCCCCCCCAAGGUCACACAGCACUCCCAGGGACCCUCCCAGGCUGCGCUGAUGGCAGCCGAUUAGGCAGCCAAUUGGUAUUCUGGGCAGCCAGAAGCCCGUCUCUGUCUCUGUAAUUAAUGGAGUGGCUUUUUAAAAGGAUUCUAAUCACCCCCGAUCCUAUCUGAUUAUCACUAGCAUCCCUAAUUAGAUGAUCCUGGCAGUCACUCCGCUAAUUCUCCUCAGCCCCGAGCAGCCCUGCCCGGCCUGGGACAGUCUACCCCACCCCCGCAGCCCGCCCGGCCCAGCCAGAUGGGCAGCCCAGCCUGGGCCUUCUCUGCCCUCAGGGCCCCUGGUUCUCUAACUACAUUACCUUCAGGAUGGAUGGGUGACAGGGAUGGAUGGCUAGGCCCUGGGUGGACAGCGGCAGGUGAGGGGAGAGGCUGGAUGAUGGACAGCUCCUGAGGUGGAUGGACAAACAGAGCGAAAGACUCACUGCUCAGCCCCUGCAAGCAGUGUGUUCUCAGGGGAGGCAUUCGACUGCUCUGUGCCUCGCCUCUCUCUGUGGAGUGGGGGUAGUGAUGGUAUCUUCCUUGCAGGGUGGCUGGGGGCACAGCUUAAACAGGGAAAGAGUUGGGGAUACCUGCUUGCUGGUGUGACGAUGACAGUAUUGACAGUGGG